UGAGCCUGGAUGUCUGAGGAUCCCUGCC
This 28-nucleotide non-coding RNA is filed under the name Rattus norvegicus (Norway rat). Lineage: Eukaryota; Metazoa; Chordata; Mammalia; Rodentia; Muridae. The record is from RNAcentral.